Molecule: ribosomal RNA, 428 nt
Filed under: uncultured bacterium
Lineage: Bacteria
Description: partial 16S ribosomal RNA
Rfam family: Bacterial small subunit ribosomal RNA
Source: RNAcentral
GUAGGGAAUAUUGCGCAAUGGACGAAAGUCUGACGCAGUGACGCCGCGUGAGUGAUGAAGGCCUUAGGGUCGUAAAGCUCUGUUGAAUGGGAAGAAAAAAAUGACGGUACCAUUCGAGGAAGGACCGGCUAACUUCGUGCCAGCAGUCGCGGUAAUACGAGGGGUCCUAGCGUUGUUCGGAAUCAUUGGGCGUAAAGGGUGUGUAGGUGGCCAUGUAAGUCAGGUGUGAAAGCCACGGGCUCAACCCGGGAAGUGCACUUGAUACUGCGUGGCUUGAGUACCGAAGAGGGUAGUGGAAUUCCAGGUGUAGUGGUGAAAUACGUAGAUAUCUGGAGGAACACCGGUGGCGAAGGCGGCUACCUGGUCGAGUACUGACACUGAGACACGAAAGCAUGGGGAUCAAACAGGAUUAGAAACCCGUGUAGUCC